AAACAGCCCUCAAUACCUGUGAUGAACUCUAAAACUUUUUUCAAGUUACACUUGACAUGCCUUAGUUUUUCGAUUAUCAUAUUUUCAGCUUUAGCUCCCAAGCUUCGACUAAUGUGAUCACAUUUUUCAUUUAAUAUGCAAUUGAGUAUAUCUUCAUGAUUGAGGGAAAUCCUUUUUUUGCUAAGUUAUGACUUAUAACCUGCUCAAUUUACAUGUCCUGACCAACUUCUUGUUCAUUAACAGCUUAAAGCUCUGGCAUCUUUGUCUGCUUUGCUCAAGCAGAAGUCUGGAAAGGAAAUAGUUCCUAUCAUUCCACAAUGGGCAUUUGAAUACAAGACGCUACUGCUGGACUAUAAUCGAGAGGUUCGGCGAGCUACUCAUGAAAGAAUGACUAAUCUUGUCACUGCUGUUGGGUUUGAAUUUCUCCCACCCCCUUUUUUGGCUAUUGAAUAUUGUUUUCUUACCUUCUUGUGUAUGACAACUUAAUGAUUACGUUGUAGUGAAGAAUAUUAAGGAUCAAUCAUGAAGGCUUGAUCCACUGAAUGUUGGAAGUCCACAAAUUUUGGUCUCUGUGAUGCUUAUUUGUUUGAGUAUUUUGUUUGAUAAUUUGGAAACAAAUACAAAGCUCAAACAACAA
Hibiscus syriacus is the source of this 637-nucleotide long non-coding RNA. RefSeq lists it as uncharacterized. The record is from RefSeq and is a predicted model, not a curated record. Lineage: Eukaryota; Viridiplantae; Streptophyta; Magnoliopsida; Malvales; Malvaceae. The transcript has 2 exons.